RNAcentral lists this ribosomal RNA (271 nucleotides) under uncultured bacterium. RNAcentral describes it as "partial 16S ribosomal RNA". The record is from RNAcentral.
CUGCUGCCUUCCGUAGGAGUCUGGACCGUGUCUCAGUUCCAAUGUGGGGGACCUUCCUCUCAGAACCCCUACGCAUCGUCGGCUUGGUGGGCCGUUGCCCCACCAACUACCCUAAUGCGCCGCAUGCCCAUCCGUGACCGGAGUCGCCCCCUUUGGCCGGAAAGGGAUGUCCCUUCCCGGCGUCAUGCUGUAUUAGGCGGGAUUUCUCCCGGUUAUCCAUCUGUCACGGCCAGGUUGCAUACGUGUUACUCACCCGUGCGCCGGUCGCCGG